AAUUGUUUAAAUUGCCAACAUCGUAAACUAGUAAAAGGAAGAAUGAAGAUUCAGAUCCAGCUAUUUCUGAAAGGAACCCAUGCCUUCCACAUCACAUUAAAUGCUUCCCUCCUCCAAGAUUGUCGAAUGGAACAACUGGUGUGAGCCUGGAAAACAGUGGAGAUUCAAGAGAGUGCAGGAGCGAGAGUGAGAAUCAGAUGGAGAGCAAGAGAGCAAGAAUGAGGAUGAGAAUUCCCUAGGAAAGAGUUGUGAGGAGCUUUGAAAGAACCACCUGCGGUGCUUGAUAUAGGUGCUCUGGAAGUGGGG
This 306-nucleotide long non-coding RNA is filed under the name Equus caballus (horse). RNAcentral's name for it is "lncRNA (ENSECAG00000048579.1)". Lineage: Eukaryota; Metazoa; Chordata; Mammalia; Perissodactyla; Equidae. The record is from RNAcentral.